RNAcentral lists this non-coding RNA (28 nucleotides) under Mus musculus (house mouse). The record is from RNAcentral. Lineage: Eukaryota; Metazoa; Chordata; Mammalia; Rodentia; Muridae.
UGGUAAAUCAGUUCCUACAGAGCUCCGG